Molecule: ribosomal RNA, 487 nt
Filed under: Dyella sp. C2PN26
Lineage: Bacteria; Pseudomonadati; Pseudomonadota; Gammaproteobacteria; Lysobacterales; Rhodanobacteraceae
Description: bacterial SSU rRNA
Rfam family: Bacterial small subunit ribosomal RNA
Source: RNAcentral
UCCUGGCUCAGAUUGAACGCUGGCGGCAUGCCUAACACAUGCAAGUCGAACGGCAGCACAGCAGUAGCAAUACUGUGGGUGGCGAGUGGCGGACGGGUGAGUAAUGCAUCGGGACCUACCCAGACGUGGGGGAUAACGUAGGGAAACUUACGCUAAUACCGCAUACGUCCUACGGGAGAAAGCGGGGGACCUUCGGGCCUCGCGCGGUUGGACGGACCGAUGUGCGAUUAGCUAGUUGGUAGGGUAAUGGCCUACCAAGGCGACGAUCGCUAGCUGGUCUGAGAGGAUGAUCAGCCACACUGGAACUGAGACACGGUCCAGACUCCUACGGGAGGCAGCAGUGGGGAAUAUUGGACAAUGGGCGCAAGCCUGAUCCAGCAAUGCCGCGUGUGUGAAGAAGGCCUUCGGGUUGUAAAGCACUUUUAUCAGGAGCGAAAUACUGUCGGUUAAUAACCGGCGGGGCUGACGGUACCUGAGGAAUAAGCAC